Molecule: ribosomal RNA, 380 nt
Filed under: uncultured archaeon
Lineage: Archaea
Description: bacterial SSU rRNA
Rfam family: Archaeal small subunit ribosomal RNA
Source: RNAcentral
AAACCAGCUCUUCAAGUGGUCGGGACUAUUAUUGGGCUUAAAGUGUCCGUAGCCGGUUUAGUAAGUUCCUGGUUAAAUCAAAUGGCUUAACUGUUUGUUUGCUAGGAAUACUACUAUACUAGGGGGCGGGAGAGGUCUGAGGUACUCCAGGGGUAGCGGUGAAAUGCUAUAAUCCUUGGGGGACCACCAGUGGCGAAGGCGUCAGACUGGAACGCGCCCGACGGUGAGGGACGAAAGCCAGGGGAGCGAACCGGAUUAGAUACCCGGGUAGUCCUGGCUGUAAACGAUGCGUGCUAGGUGUUGGUAUGGCUAUGAGCCGUAUCAGUGCCGUAGAGAAACCGUUAAGCGCGCCGCCUGGGGAGUACGGUCGCAAGACUGAA